UAGGGAAUAUUGCUCAAUGGGCGAAAGCCUGAAGCAGCAACGCCGCGUGUGCGAUGAAGGCCUUCGGGUCGUAAAGCACUUUUCUGAGAGAUGAGAAAGGACAGUAUCUCAGGAAUAAGUCUCGGCUAACUACGUG
This 136-nucleotide ribosomal RNA is filed under the name uncultured bacterium. RNAcentral's name for it is "partial 16S rRNA". It matches the Rfam family "Bacterial small subunit ribosomal RNA", at positions 355 to 507 of the family's 1533-position model. The record is from RNAcentral.